Etheostoma spectabile (orangethroat darter) is the source of this 76-nucleotide long non-coding RNA. RefSeq lists it as uncharacterized. The record is from RefSeq and is a predicted model, not a curated record. Lineage: Eukaryota; Metazoa; Chordata; Actinopteri; Perciformes; Percidae. The transcript has 3 exons.
GAGCGCCGUAACUACAACUAUUUGCAGUCUUUUCCUGAACAGAGGUGGCGCUAAUGAGGAAAGGCUACCAACUUUG